AUGGAUGGAUGGGGACGGGGCGAUGACGGCGCGGCGGCGGGUGCCGCGAUGGUGGGGAGCGACUGGAUCAACAUCUAUCUGGAGGCCAUCCUCGACGCGGGCGGUGCCGCGGGAGAGAUCUCGACCGCCUCACUAGCGCCUGGGGGCGGCGGCGAAGCGGCGGAGAAGAGGCGGGACAAGUCGUGGCUCAUGCUGCGGGAGCGUGGCCGCUUCAACCUGGCGUGCUACUUCGUGGGGGAGGUCAUCUCCGGCUUCGACGAGACCGACCUCUACAAGACCUGGGUCCGUACGUCAGCGAUGAGGAGCCCGCAGGAGCGGACCACGCGGCUGGAGAACAUGUCCUGGCGGAUCUGGAACCUCGCCAGGAAGAAGAAGCUGAUUACGUACCACUUCUUCCACUGGAAGAAGGGAACUCCAUUCGCUGAUGAUCAGGGGAUGUAUAAUAGAUUGACUUGGUGGGAGCAAAUGGACAACGGCAAGCAGCUUACUCGCAACAGAAAAUUUCUUGUUGUGGUUCCUGUAGUCUUAUAA
This 531-nucleotide ribosomal RNA is filed under the name Triticum aestivum (bread wheat). RNAcentral's name for it is "partial small subunit ribosomal RNA". The record is from RNAcentral. Lineage: Eukaryota; Viridiplantae; Streptophyta; Magnoliopsida; Poales; Poaceae.